UAGGGCACCACAAGAACGCGUGGAGCAUGUGGCUUAAUUUGACUCAACCCGGGAAAUCUUACCAGGUCCAGACAUAUUGAGGAUUGACAGGCGAUAGUAUAUAAAAUAUAUUUUUAUAUGCAUAAAAAUGAUAGUCCUUUCAUGAUUAUAUGAUAGGUGGUGCAUGGCCGUUCUUAGUUCGUGGAGUGAUUUGUCUGCUUAAUUGCGUUUCAGUAAAUAAAAUAUAUAAUAUAUUAUAAUAUUUAGUUCUGCCAUUUAUUUAUGGAUUUAAAGUGAACAUAUUAUAUAUAUUAUUAUAUAAUAAAUGAAUGCAACGAACGUGACCGUAACCUUUUAUUGCUAUUGAAAAUUAUAAUUAUAGCAUAAAAUUAAAGGAACCGCUGUCAUUACUAAAUAUGUGUUAAAAUAGAGUAAGAUUAUGGCAAUAACAGGUCUGUGAUGCCCUCAGAUGUUCUGGGCUGCACACGUGCUACAAUAAUUACAUUAAUAAGUAUAUAUACUUUAUAAUAUAUAAUAUUAUAUUACAACCUAUUUCGAAAGUAAAUCGGUAAUCAUUUAAAAAUCGUGAUUAAUUAAUAUAAAUAUAAUUAAUUUAAGGUGGGGAUAGUGUAUUGUUAAUUAUUACACUUGGCCUUAACUAGGAAUGCCUUGUACUCUUCUUUGGUUUAACAUACCAAGAGGAAUACGUCCCUGCCCUUUGUACACACCGCCCGUCGCUCUUACCGAUGAAUUAUAUUAUAAAUCUAAGGGAUUUAUUAUAAUUAAAAUAUAAAAAACUUAUAUACAUAAUGUGAUUUAAAGGAAAGAGAAGUCGAACAAGGCA
Molecule: ribosomal RNA, 823 nt
Filed under: Sorites orbiculus
Lineage: Eukaryota; Foraminifera; Miliolida; Soritidae
Description: SSU rRNA
Rfam family: Eukaryotic small subunit ribosomal RNA
Source: RNAcentral